RNAcentral lists this long non-coding RNA (600 nucleotides) under Cicer arietinum (chickpea). RNAcentral's name for it is "long non-coding RNA (CARI_LNC002801)". Lineage: Eukaryota; Viridiplantae; Streptophyta; Magnoliopsida; Fabales; Fabaceae. The record is from RNAcentral.
CCAAAAUGUAAGUGUUGUAAAUUUAUUAAUUUUAUUUUGAUAAAUGCUUUUAUAUUUAAAAUAGAGCAACUAUCAUAAUUAUUUUGUUCUAGAUUCAACACUUAUAUGUGCAACUACAUUUUGAAGGUGAUGGUAUGUUUGCACCAGUUGUCAUAGGUAUAGCUGUGAAAAUAAAACACAUUAAUUAAAAGAUAGACGAGAAUAAGAAUCUAUAAAAGAUUAGUGUCAUGUGAAAAAAAUGUUAAAAUAAUUGAGAGACAAAGUUUUAGUUAAGUAAUAAAUUAUAAAAUCUAUAAUUUUUAAAAUAUACAAUUUAAAAAAAAUGCUUAGGUAAUUAGAUUUAGAUCUCGAGAUAAUAUCUAAAAUUAAUAAUACUGUAUCUAAAUCAAUGAUAAUUGAUUUUUAUAAAAUCCAAUUAACAAUGCAAAAUUUUAAAUUUGUUAAGUUAAUCUAAUAAAUACUGCCAUCACAUAUAUGCUACAAAAUUUGAUAUAUAAAUUUGUAUACCUGAACAAAUAAAGGCAAGCUCGAUAAUUAGCAAGGCGGAAAACUUAGCCAUUUCAAAUAGUUUCAAUAUCAAUAGCAAUAUUAUGAUUUAUU